RNAcentral lists this transfer RNA (74 nucleotides) under Actinomycetes bacterium. RNAcentral describes it as "Actinobacteria bacterium tRNA-Thr". It matches the Rfam family "tRNA". From Rfam's summary of the family: Transfer RNA (tRNA) molecules are approximately 80 nucleotides in length. Their secondary structure includes four short double-helical elements and three loops (D, anti-codon, and T loops). Lineage: Bacteria; Bacillati; Actinomycetota; Actinomycetes. RNAcentral also lists the same sequence under 2 other names. The record is from RNAcentral.
GCCGGAGUAGCUCAGCUGGUCAGAGCAACGGUUUUGUAAACCGUAGGCCGUCGGUUCGAAUCCGACCUCCGGCU